This 1541-nucleotide long non-coding RNA is filed under the name Anser brachyrhynchus (Pink-footed goose). Its description in RNAcentral is "lncRNA (ENSABRG00000011060.1)". The record is from RNAcentral. Lineage: Eukaryota; Metazoa; Chordata; Aves; Anseriformes; Anatidae.
GAAAUGUGUCCUCUCAAUCCUGAGAAUGCCCAGAAUGAUCAGGCUCAAAGGAAGGUGUAAGAAACUCCCAUUAGUGAGAUUACAGGUUCAGAUGUGGCCAGCUAAUCUUCUCCACCAUUAACUCUCACCCUGCGCAAUCACGUACCUGGAGGUCUCUCGCAACUGCAGGCACCGCUCCUGUGUCGCACAGGGAGCAGGGCAGUGAUGAGCACUUAGAAAAAUCAUGGUGUAGUGUUUCUGUGAAAAAUGAAUGUUAAAAAAACUGGGCAUUGGUAAUGGACAUUGGCCAUUUAAAAGUUUGUCUCUGUGUUCUUCAGAAGACUCAUCCAGGAUUUCUCUGGUGCAGUUAAAAUGCCAUGCGAGGGCACAGCUGAUCAGUCUUCAUAAAAGCACUGCUGAAAAAGAUGUAUAACUAAUGCAUUCUUCUUCAUUAGGAAACAUCGUUUCUUGUGGCAUCACUUCUGUUAUGUUUUCUUGCAGUGACCCAAAAACCUGGCUGCUUUGGAAAGUGGAUAGUAUUGGCAAUCAAAGAAAUAUGAGUGAUGUUUUGCACCUCAAGACUUCAUUCUGUAAGAUGUAUCGACCGGAUUGCCUACCUGUAACUCAGCUUUGUAAGCAGCCUCCUGAGGUUAGCCGCGGUGGUAAUACAUGCCUUGUGCUUUGCCAGCCCCUACAAGCCAGCCAAAGUCUGUUAAAGCCUUCAGAGCACAAAACAGUGAUAAGAUGGAUCACUAACAGGUAUGCAUCAGGGAUAACGCAAAGGUGUUCCUUGGACGACAACCUAAAAUUAGCUGCUGUUAACUCAAAGCAGUAGUAACUGCCUCCUAUGUUGUUACCUCUGCUGGAACAGAGUGGCUAAUGUAUGUAAGGGAAAUGGUGAUACUGAGUAUGUACAUUAUAUACAUAUAUACUAUGUAUAUGUAUGUAUAUGUGUAUAUGCUAGCAUGUUGAAGUGUAGAAGUCAUUUUUUGAAAAGUUCUGGGAGAUUCAGGCAUAUGGCUUGUUUUGGACUGUUAUAAAAAUAUGAACAUUUUGGUGAUAAAGCUAAAAAUGUAUACAUUAAGACCUACAUUCCUAAUGUAGGUCAGUGGAGGCACUUCUCAGACAUAUUAGUGUUUUGGACACUUAAUCUUAGCAGCAUAUUGCAUCUCCUGGAAUAGGUUAGCAGAGGCAAUGCAGAAGAAAUUGUUGCAUCUGAAGUCAUUCAGAAAUAUUGCCAAGUUUCUCAGGAACCAGAAUUGCAGGAUAAUGAGUAUUAUAUUUAAUUUGUGAUGGAAAGGCAACUGUAGGGAGUUCAGCAGAGGCAACUCAGAUCAUCUUGGCUCUGUGGGGGAGGGAGAAUUUAUAACUAUAGCUAGCUAAAAAGAAGAAAGCUGUCUGUAUUUGUGUGUAUAUAUAUAUUUAUAUAUAUGUAUAUACAAAUCUGUGUAUGUGUAGAUAACGCUGUGUGUAUAUAUGUAUGUAUGUAUAUGCCCAUAAUGUAUAAUAUGUGUAUCUAUAUAUAUGUAUACAUUUAUAUAAAUUUAUAUUUCUCUAUAUAA